RNAcentral lists this ribosomal RNA (253 nucleotides) under uncultured bacterium. RNAcentral's name for it is "partial 16S ribosomal RNA". It matches the Rfam family "Bacterial small subunit ribosomal RNA", at positions 524 to 776 of the family's 1533-position model. The record is from RNAcentral.
UACGGAGGGUGCAAGCGUUGUUCGGAAUCAUUGGGCGUAAAGCGCGCGCAGGCGGCCAUUUAAGUCUGAUGUGAAAGCCCGAGGCUCAACCUCGGAGGUGCAUUGGAAACUGGAUGGCUUGAGUCCAAGAGAGGUUAGUGGAAUUCGUGGUGUAGGGGUGAAAUCCGUAGAUAUCACGAGGAACACCAGUGGCGAAGGCGACUGACUGGAUUGGUACUGACGCUGAGGCGCGAAAGCGUGGGGAGCAAACAGG